This 468-nucleotide ribosomal RNA is filed under the name uncultured bacterium. RNAcentral describes it as "partial 16S ribosomal RNA". It matches the Rfam family "Bacterial small subunit ribosomal RNA", at positions 28 to 507 of the family's 1533-position model. The record is from RNAcentral.
GACGAACGCUGGCGGCGUGCUUAACACAUGCAAGUCGAACGGAGAGGCCCUGCUUUUGUGGGGUGCUCGAGUGGCGAACGGGUGAGUAACACGUGAGUAACCUGCCCUUGACUUUGGGAUAACUUCAGGAAACUGGGGCUAAUACCGGAUAGGAGCUCCUGCUGCAUGGUGGGGGUUGGAAAGUUUCGGCGGUUGGGGAUGGACUCGCGGCUUAUCAGCUUGUUGGUGGGGUAGUGGCUUACCAAGGCUUUGACGGGUAGCUGGCCUGAGAGGGUGACCGGCCACAUUGGGACUGAGAUACGGCCCAGACUCCUACGGGAGGCAGCAGUGGGGAAUAUUGCACAAUGGGCGGAAGCCUGAUGCAGCAACGCCGCGUGCGGGAUGACGGCCUUCGGGUUGUAAACCGCUUUCGCCUGUGACGAAGCGUGAGUGACGGUAAUGGGUAAAGAAGCACCGGCUAACUACGUG